RNAcentral lists this ribosomal RNA (253 nucleotides) under uncultured bacterium. RNAcentral describes it as "partial 16S ribosomal RNA". It matches the Rfam family "Bacterial small subunit ribosomal RNA", at positions 524 to 776 of the family's 1533-position model. The record is from RNAcentral.
UACGUAGGGUGCAAGCGUUAAUCGGAAUUACUGGGCGUAAAGCGUGCGCAGGCGGUUAUGUAAGACAGAUGUGAAAUGCCCGGGCUUAACCUGGGAACUGCAUUUGUGACUGCAUGGCUAGAGUUUGGCAGAGGGGGGUAGAAUUCCACGUGUAGCAGUGAAAUGCGUAGAUAUGUGGAGGAACACCGAUGGCGAAGGCAGCCCCCUGGGUCAAGACUGACGCUCAGGCACGAAAGCGUGGGGAGCAAACAGG